Molecule: unclassified non-coding RNA, 240 nt
Filed under: soil metagenome
Description: partial contains 5.8S ribosomal RNA, internal transcribed spacer 2, and large subunit ribosomal RNA
Source: RNAcentral
AACAUCGCGCACCUGCGGGAACCUGCGGAGGGAUCAUUACCGAGUUAUACAACUCCCAAACCCACUGUGAACCUUACCUCAGUUGCCUCGGCGGGAACGCCCCGGCCGCCUGCCCCCGCGCCGGCGCCGGACCCAGGCGCCCGCCGCAGGGACCCCAAACUCUCUUGCAUUACGCCCAGCGGGCGGAAUUUCUUCUCUGAGUUGCACAAGCAAAAACAAAUGAAUCAAAACUUUCAGCAA